UAGUCUACGCCGUAAACGAUGGAUACUAGUUGUUUGGCCUUCGGGCUGAGUGACUAAGCGAAAGUGAUAAGUAUCCCACCUGGGGAGUACGUUCGCAAGAAUGAAGCUCAAAGGAAUUGACGGGGGCCCGCACAAGCGGUGGAGCAUGUGGUUUAAUUCGAUGAUACGCGAGGAACCUUACCAGGGCUUAAAUGUAGGUUGCAUUAUCCAGAGAUGGAUAUUUCUUCGGACUACUUACAAGGUGCUGCAUGGUUGUCGUCAGCUCGUGCCGUGAGGUGUCAGGUUAAGUCCUAUAACGAGCGCAACCCCUAUUGUUAGUUACCAGCACGUUAUGGUGGGGACUCUAACAAGACUGCCGGUGCAAACCGCGAGGAAGGUGGGGAUGACGUCAAAUCAUCACGGCCCUUACGUCCUGGGCUACACACGUGCUACAAUGGUAGGUACAGAGAGCAGCCACUUGGCAACAAGGAGCGAAUCUAUAAAACCUAUCACAGUUCGGAUCGGAGU
RNAcentral lists this ribosomal RNA (507 nucleotides) under uncultured bacterium. Its description in RNAcentral is "bacterial SSU rRNA". It matches the Rfam family "Bacterial small subunit ribosomal RNA", at positions 791 to 1304 of the family's 1533-position model. The record is from RNAcentral.